RNAcentral lists this ribosomal RNA (254 nucleotides) under uncultured bacterium. RNAcentral's name for it is "partial 16S ribosomal RNA". It matches the Rfam family "Bacterial small subunit ribosomal RNA", at positions 524 to 777 of the family's 1533-position model. The record is from RNAcentral.
GACGUAGGGGGCGAGCGUUGUCCGGAUUUAUUGGGCGUAAAGCGCGCGUAGGCGGCCCGUUAAGUCGGAUGUGAAAACCCGUGGCUCAACCACGGGCCUGCAUCCGAUACUGGCGGGCUCGAGGCAGGCAGGGGAGAUCGGAAUUCCAGGUGUAGCGGUGAAAUGCGUAGAUAUCUGGAGGAAUACCGGUGGCGAAGGCGGCAUCCUGGACCGGCAUUGACGCUGAGGAGCGAAAGCCAGGGGAGCAAAGCGGG